This 906-nucleotide ribosomal RNA is filed under the name Triticum aestivum (bread wheat). Its description in RNAcentral is "partial small subunit ribosomal RNA". Lineage: Eukaryota; Viridiplantae; Streptophyta; Magnoliopsida; Poales; Poaceae. The record is from RNAcentral.
AUGUGGCGUCUAGACGUAAUGCAGAUGGGAAGAAAACAGAGAGCAAGCCCAGAAAACUUCAAGGACGCCAUGUCCGCGGAGAGACACCAGGGGGCUCGCCUCACGCCGGCCUCGGCAGCGCCAGCGGCGUCACCUCGGCGAGAGGCGUGGGCAUGGGGCUGGGCAGAGGCGACGUCCGGCACACCGGGCACGUGGGCCGCCGCCGGAGCCACGCGUCGACGCAGCCGCGGUGGAACAGGUGGCCGCAGUCCGGCAGCACCCGGACCACGUCGCUGUCCGCGUACCUCUCCAGGCAGACGGCGCAGCAGGCCGCGUGCUGCCCCUCCUCCGAGGCCGGCUUCCUCGCCUCCCUGUAGACCACCGCCGGGUACGCCUCCAGCGUCGCCGCGUCGAUGCCGCCGAGCUCGACGUCGCCGUUGCCGCGGCGGGGCGGCGCCGGCGCCGGAAUCCCGCGGGCGUCGGCCACCGGCAUGGACGACGAGGCGCGGGCGCAGCAGAGGUAGACGGCGAAGGCGACGGUGCAGACGAGGAGGAGGAUACCGACGGAGACGGCCAGGCCGUAGCCGAACCCGCCGGCGCCGCUCGACCCGAACAGGCCGUGCGGGGCGCCGGGCGGCGACGGGCCGCCGGUGCCCAUCGCUGCUCUCCGUGGAUGUUGUUAGCGACGUCAACGGGGAGGAGCUUUGCGUGGCGAGCUGUGGUCGAGGACGGGCGCAGGGAAGGUACAAGGCGUGGAGACGCAGGGGACGACGUGGCGUGUCUAGUCAGUCUCAAUGUAGCGUGGCUGGUUUGUUCAUCGGCGUUCCGAUUAAUUCGACGUUGAUGCGGAUUCGUUUGCUUCUGGAAGUGCAUCUUCGUGUGCUUAGGCUUUUGUUUACUCAAAUUUGCUAUUCCAGGGUGACAUGA